GCCAAGUGUUCCCUGCCAGUUCUGCAUUACCUGAGACGGAAGUGCUCAAGCCCUCUUCCACCGGUGCCACCAGAUCUGGAGGAAAGCCAGAUAUCAACUACUAAAGGCCGCAUCUAGGAACAAGACGGCUGUGGACCGGUGAUGGAUUUCAGCUUCCUCGUACCAGCCGGGGCAAAGAGUAUGGCUGUCUGCUCAAGAUAUUCCUCUCAGAGUAGAGUCACAUGACUUCCUGUCAAGUUUCCCUCCUGUGUGGUUACCUGCCCCGCCCUAAAGUGUUGCACCUGUGUCUCAUUGUCUGCCCUCUACCAGUGUAUUUAGUCUGUGUGCUCCCUGCUUUCUGUGCCAGUUCAUCUCUUUUGUCAAGCGAUCCAACAUUUAUAUUCUGAUUCCCAGUGGUUUUGACUUUUGAUUGGAUUUUUGGAUUUUGCCUCUGCCUUGCCCUUUUUGACUUGUUUGCCUUCUCUGCCUGACUUCCUUGUACAAAACCUCUACUUGUGGAUUAAAGACUGACUUUUGGA
Long non-coding RNA from Myripristis murdjan (pinecone soldierfish), 518 nucleotides. RefSeq lists it as uncharacterized. NCBI's taxonomy places the organism in Eukaryota, Metazoa, Chordata, Actinopteri, Holocentriformes, Holocentridae. The record is from RefSeq and is a predicted model, not a curated record. The transcript has 3 exons.